UUCGAACGGAGAGUUUGAUCCUGGCUCAGGAUGAACGCUGGCGGCGUGCUUAACACAUGCAAGUCGAACGAUUAAGACGGCUUCGGCCGUGUAUAGAGUGGCGAACGGGUGAGUAACACGUGACCAA
This 127-nucleotide ribosomal RNA is filed under the name Adlercreutzia rubneri. RNAcentral describes it as "partial 16S ribosomal RNA". It matches the Rfam family "Bacterial small subunit ribosomal RNA", at positions 1 to 124 of the family's 1533-position model. Lineage: Bacteria; Bacillati; Actinomycetota; Coriobacteriia; Eggerthellales; Eggerthellaceae. The record is from RNAcentral.